UGACCUCGAUCAGUAGAUCC
Molecule: ribosomal RNA, 20 nt
Filed under: Colletotrichum sp. SOLS-PO007
Lineage: Eukaryota; Fungi; Ascomycota; Sordariomycetes; Glomerellales; Glomerellaceae
Description: partial 28S ribosomal RNA
Source: RNAcentral